This is a long non-coding RNA of Tachysurus fulvidraco (yellow catfish), 572 nucleotides long. RefSeq lists it as uncharacterized. NCBI's taxonomy places the organism in Eukaryota, Metazoa, Chordata, Actinopteri, Siluriformes, Bagridae. The record is from RefSeq and is a predicted model, not a curated record. The transcript is spliced from 4 exons.
UCAUCACGUGGUCUUAUAGAGGAUCACGUGUAGAAGCAAUCACAGCGCCAUCACGCGCUCAGAGAUCUCACUGCAGUUUAAGCUGAUAUUUCCAGUAACUCACAGUCAACUCUGUUGGAUCCCAAAAACUCAUUGUUAGUAGCCAAAGGUCCGGAGCCUCCCAAGAGGUCAUGUGGUAAAAAAAAAUCCAAAAAAAAACAUGGGCACCGAAUACUAAACCGAGGGCACUGAUUGCUUUACUGGUCCGGAUUCAACGUUCUGCACGUGAACUGGAAGGAAGGAGCUCAUACAGCCAGCGCAACAACUUGAAGAAUGGAUCAGAGAUUCAUAGAUUGGAUCAGGCCAUCAUCUCCAUGUAUGUGAAUGAGAAGGUUCUUCACUGGAUACGAACAGUUAUUGUCUUGUCCUCACACCCUCCAAAUUGUCUGCCAUGGAUGGAUCACAGCUUAUUGAACUUUAUCUUUUGGAUCUUAUAUACAGACAUUUUCCACAUUCUAUGUGUUAUUCAGUUCAAUUCAAUGCAAAUCUAUUUGUAUAGCACUUUUUACAAUUGACAAUGUCUCAAAGCAACU